CAUGGCUCAGGAUGAACGCUGGCGGCGUGCUUAACACAUGCAAGUCGAACGAUGAACCUCACUUGUGGGGGGAUUAGUGGCGAACGGGUGAGUAACACGUGAGUAACCUGCCCUUGACUCUGGGAUAAGCCUGGGAAACUGGGUCUAAUACCGGAUAUGACUCCUCAUCGCAUGGUGGGGGGUGGAAAGCUUUUUGUGGUUUUGGAUGGACUCGCGGCCUAUCAGCUUGUUGGUGAGGUAAUGGCUCACCAAGGCGACGACGGGUAGCCGGCCUGAGAGGGUGACCGGCCACACUGGGACUGAGACACGGCCCAGACUCCUACGGGAGGCAGCAGUGGGGAAUAUUGCACAAUGGGCGAAAGCCUGAUGCAGCGACGCCGCGUGAGGGAUGACGGCCUUCGGGUUGUAAACCUCUUUCAGUAGGGAAGAAGCGAAAGUGACGGUACCUGCAGAAGAAGCGCCGGCUAACUACGUGCCAGCAGCCGCGGUAAUACGUAGGGCGCAAGCGUUAUCCGGGAUUAUUGGGCGUAAAGAGCUCGUAGGCGGUUUGUCGCGUCUGCCGUGAAAGUCCGGGGCUCAACUCCGGAUCUGCGGUGGGUACGGGCAGACUAGAGUGAUGUAGGGGAGACUGGAAUUCCUGGUGUAGCGGUGAAAUGCGCAGAUAUCAGGAGGAACACCGAUGGCGAAGGCAGGUCUCUGGGCAUUAACUGACGCUGAGGAGCGAAAGCAUGGGGAGCNAACAGGAUUAGAUACCCUGGUAGUCCAUGCCGUAAACGUUGGGCACUAGGUGUGGGGGACAUUCCACGUUUUCCGCUCCGUA
This 820-nucleotide ribosomal RNA is filed under the name Arthrobacter sp. Its description in RNAcentral is "bacterial SSU rRNA". It matches the Rfam family "Bacterial small subunit ribosomal RNA", at positions 18 to 850 of the family's 1533-position model. The record is from RNAcentral. Lineage: Bacteria; Bacillati; Actinomycetota; Actinomycetes; Micrococcales; Micrococcaceae.